This is a long non-coding RNA of Anthonomus grandis grandis, 977 nucleotides long. RefSeq lists it as uncharacterized. The record is from RefSeq and is a predicted model, not a curated record. Lineage: Eukaryota; Metazoa; Arthropoda; Insecta; Coleoptera; Curculionidae. The transcript has 2 exons.
UAAAUUGACUGAUUUUACGGAAUUAUUGAUUGAAAAUGUAAAAACGUAUCAUGUUUUAUUUGAUUUAUCCCAUCCAGAUUACAAAAAUGUGCGUAUAAAGAACAAAAUAUGGGACGAAAUCGCAAAGAAUAUGGGAUUAAAACACACAGGUAACGAUCUAAAAAAACGUUGGAAAAAUCUAAGAGAUUGUUACUCAAAAUAUCUCCGCACCGAAUAGGCAAAAACUGGACAAGCUGCUAAAUCUAUCUACCGCUACAAAACCUGGCCUUGGGCGCAACAGAUGGAAGUUUUCAGACCUUUUUCACAAUUUGCUCAGACUGUAUAAUGUAACUGACGAAACAGAAACUCAUGAGUUUGCAAGCGCAGAAUGCGAAGAAUGUAGUGAUACAAACAAAGAUUUACAAAGUGAAAGUAUACUAGGAAGUGAAGCUAAUCAUCGAAAAAUAUCAAAAAAAUUCAUUUAAACGAAAUCAAGAAAAAAAGAGAAAAUCAAUGGAAGACUCGACAUCCAACCCACAAGCUUCAUCUGUUAAUAAAGUGAUCAAAUUCCUAGAUGAGAGACACAUUGCAAAUCAGAAAACUAACAUUACAGAUGAAAUUGAUAUAACAUUUCAAGGGUACGCAGUAAGUGUAAAAAAGUUGUCGACGGAAGAACACAUAAUGGUCAAAUACAAAGUUGCCAAAAUAAUAAUGGAACAAGAAUUAAGUGAAAUCUGGAUGCAAGGACAAAACUAACCAAGCAAUAGUUCCUCUUUUAAUUCCAUGGAAGUAUCAAACACGCCAAACUCCCCCCCACAGCGUUCAUAUUUGACAAACAGUUGUACUGCUCAGGAAGUCUCUGAAGAAAGUCCUACAACAACCUGGUAUGAGGAAUUCUGUACGAACAAUAUUGACUAAUUAAUUAUUAAGUAUUUUUUAUUACUAUGUAAUCUAGCUGUUGUAAAAAACUUUAAUAAAAAAUAAGAAUAAAAUAUAAA